Acanthosepion pharaonis is the source of this 106-nucleotide non-coding RNA. The record is from the annotation of a GenBank genome assembly. NCBI's taxonomy places the organism in Eukaryota, Metazoa, Mollusca, Cephalopoda, Sepiida, Sepiidae.
ACAACCAUAUCACAUUGAAAUACCAGUUCCCAUACAAUCACCGAAGUUAAGCAAUGUCAAGCCUGGUCAGUACCUAGAUGAGUGACUGCUUGGGAAUACCAGGUGU